ACGGGUGAGUAAUACGUAGGAAUAUGUCUUUGAGAGGGGGAUAACACGGGGAAACUCGUGCUAAUACCGCAUAAUCUUGAGAGAGCAAAGUGUGGGACCGAAAGGCCACAUGCUUGAAGAGUAGCCUACGUCGGAUUAGCUAGUUGGUAGGGUAAGAGCCUACCAAGGCGAUGAUCCGUAGCUGGUCUGAGAGGACGAUCAGCCACACUGGGACUGAGACACGGCCCAGACUCCUACGGGAGGCAGCAGUGGGGAAUUUUGGACAAUGGGGGCAACCCUGAUCCAGCAAUGCCGCGUGUGUGAAGAAGGCCUGCGGGUUGUAAAGCACUUUAGGUGGGGAGAAAGGUCAUUGGAGUAAUGCUCUAGUGAAUUGAUGUUACCCACAGAAUAAGCACCGGCUAACUCUGUGCCAGCAGCCGCGGUAAUACAGAGGGUGCAAGCGUUAAUCGGAAUUAUUGGGCGUAAAGCGCAUGUAGGUGGCGAUUCAAGUCUGAUGUGAAAGCCCUGGGCUUAACCUGGGAAUUGCGUUGGGAACUGAAUAGCUAGAGUCGGACAGAGGGCCGUGGAAUUUCCGGUGU
This 578-nucleotide ribosomal RNA is filed under the name uncultured bacterium. RNAcentral describes it as "bacterial SSU rRNA". It matches the Rfam family "Bacterial small subunit ribosomal RNA", at positions 102 to 676 of the family's 1533-position model. The record is from RNAcentral.